RNAcentral lists this ribosomal RNA (253 nucleotides) under uncultured bacterium. Its description in RNAcentral is "partial 16S ribosomal RNA". It matches the Rfam family "Bacterial small subunit ribosomal RNA", at positions 524 to 776 of the family's 1533-position model. The record is from RNAcentral.
UACGAAGGGGGCUAGCGUUGCUCGGAAUUACUGGGCGUAAAGCGCACGUAGGCGGCUCUUUAAGUCGGAGGUGAAAUCCUGGAGCUCAACUCCAGAACUGCCUUCGAUACUGAAGAGCUCGAGUCCGGGAGAGGUGAGUGGAACUGCGAGUGUAGAGGUGAAAUUCGUAGAUAUUCGCAAGAACACCAGUGGCGAAGGCGGCUCACUGGCCCGGUACUGACGCUGAGGUGCGAAAGCGUGGGGAGCAAACAGG